AGAGUUUGAUCAUGGCUCAGAUUGAACGCUGGCGGCAUGCCUUACACAUGCAAGUCGAACGGUAGAGGAGCAAUCCUCGAGAGUGGCGAACGGGUGAGUAAUAUAUCGGAACGUGCCCAGUCGUGGGGGAUAACGUAGAGAAAUUUACGCUAAUACCGCAUACGAUCUAAGGAUGAAAGCGGGGGACUCGCAAGGGCCUCGCGCGAUUGGAGCGGCUGAUAUCAGAUUAGGUUGUUGGUGAGGUAAAAGCUCACCAAGCCGACGAUCUGUAGCUGGUUUGAGAGAACGACCAGCCACACUGGGACUGAGACACGGCCCAGACUCCUACGGGAGGCAGCAGUGGGGAAUUUUGGACAAUGGGCGAAAGCCUGAUCCAGCAAUGCCGCGUGCAGGAAGAAGGCCUUCGGGUUGUAAACUGCUUUUGUACGGAACGAAACGGUUCUUUCUAAUAAAGAGGGCUAAUGACGGUACCGUAAGAAUAAGCACCGGCUAACUACGUGCCAGCAGCCGCGGUAAUACGUAGGGUGCGAGCGUUAAUCGGAAUUACUGGGCGUAAAGCGUGCGCAGGCGGUUCCAUAAGACAGAUGUGAAAUCCCCGGGCUCAACCUGGGAAUGGCAUUUGUGACUGUAGAGCUAGAGUACGGUAGAGGGGGAUGGAAUUCCGCGUGUAGCAGUGAAAUGCGUAGAUAUGCGGAGGAACACCGAUGGCGAAGGCAAUCCCCUGGACCUGUACUGACGCUCAUGCACGAAAGCGUGGGGAGCAAACAGGAUUAGAUACCCUGGUAGUCCACGCCCUAAACGAUGUCAACUGGUUGUUGGGUGCAUUAGUACUCAGUAACGAAGCUAACGCGUGAAGUUGACCGCCUGGGGAGUACGGCCGCAAGGUUGAAACUCAAAUGAAUUGACGG
This 908-nucleotide ribosomal RNA is filed under the name uncultured bacterium. Its description in RNAcentral is "bacterial SSU rRNA". It matches the Rfam family "Bacterial small subunit ribosomal RNA", at positions 8 to 916 of the family's 1533-position model. The record is from RNAcentral.